GUGCGUAACGCGUAACCAACCUGCCCUUGACUGGGGGAUAGCCCGCCGAAAGGCGGAUUAAUACCGCAUAAACUAGCAACUCGGCAUCGGGUAACUAGUAAAGAUUUAUUGGUCAAGGAUGGGGUUGCGUGACAUUAGCUAGUUGGCGGGGUAAGGGCCCACCAAGGCGACGAUGUCUAGGGGACCUGAGAGGGUGAUCCCCCACACUGGCACUGAGAUACGGGCCAGACUCCUACGGGAGGCAGCAGUAGGGAAUAUUGGGCAAUGGACGAGAGUCUGACCCAGCCAUGCCGCGUGCCGGAUGAAGGCCUUCUGGGUUGUAAACGGCUUUUCUCAGGGAAGAAAACGACCAUGCGUGGUACACUGACGGUACCUGAGGAAUAAGCACCGGCUAACUCCGUGCCAGCAGCCGCGGUAAUACGGAGGGUGCAAGCGUUGUCCGGAUUUAUUGGGUUUAAAGGGUGCGUAGGCGGCCCGUUAAGUCCGGGGUGAAAGCCCACUGCUCAACAGUGGAACUGCCCUGGAUACUGGCGGGCUUGAGUCCAGACGAGGUUGGCGGAAUGGAUGCUGUAGCGGUGAAAUGCAUAGAUAGCAUCCAGAACCCCGAUUGCGAA
This 614-nucleotide ribosomal RNA is filed under the name Hymenobacter sp. RNAcentral's name for it is "bacterial SSU rRNA". It matches the Rfam family "Bacterial small subunit ribosomal RNA", at positions 106 to 719 of the family's 1533-position model. The record is from RNAcentral. Lineage: Bacteria; Pseudomonadati; Bacteroidota; Cytophagia; Cytophagales; Hymenobacteraceae.